ACAUGCAAGUCGAACGAGAAACUACCUUCGGGUAGUGGAAAGUGGCAAACGGGUGAGUAACACGUGGGAAUGUACCUUAAGGUUCGGGACAACAGUUGGAAACGGCUGCUAAUACCGAAUGUGCUCGAUAGAGAAAAGAUUUAUCGCCUUAAGAUCAGCCCGCGUUGGAUUAGCUAGUUGGUGAGGUAAUGGCUCACCAAGGCUACGAUCUAUAGCAGGUUUGAGAGGAUGAUCUGCCACACUGGGACUGAGAUACGGCCCAGACUCC
This 268-nucleotide ribosomal RNA is filed under the name uncultured bacterium. RNAcentral describes it as "partial 16S ribosomal RNA". It matches the Rfam family "Bacterial small subunit ribosomal RNA", at positions 53 to 339 of the family's 1533-position model. The record is from RNAcentral.